This 1332-nucleotide ribosomal RNA is filed under the name Elymnias malelas. RNAcentral describes it as "16S ribosomal RNA". Lineage: Eukaryota; Metazoa; Arthropoda; Insecta; Lepidoptera; Nymphalidae. The record is from RNAcentral.
GGGGGAAAAAUUAAUUAAAUAUAAAAUAUUAAAAUAAAUUUUAAAAUUAAAAAUAUAUGGGGGUUAAAGUAUUUUUAAUAGAAAAAAUUUAUAAUUUUAUAAAAAAUUAGUAUUGUAAAAGAAAUUUGAAAUAAAUAAAAUAAAAAUUUUUAGUAAAGAAAAUUUAAUUUAUUGUAUCUUGUGUAUCAGAGUUUAUUAAAUAAUUAUUAUAAAAAUAAUAAUCUCGAAUUUAAAAGAAAUAAUUAAUUAUAAAAUUUAAUGUAGCAUAAUUAUUUUAAAUAAUUAGUUUGAAAUGAAAUGUUAAACGUUUUUAAAAAUAUCUAGUUAUUUCAGAAAAAAAUUUAAUUUUAAAUUUAAAUAAUUUUAUAAUUUUAUAAAAUAAUUAUAAAAUCGUUAAUUUUAAUGUUUUGGGGGAUAAGCUUUAAAAUAAAAUUUUAUAAUAAUGAUUAAAAUAAAAAUUAAAAUUUUUAAAAUUUAUAUUGUUUAAAAAUUAAAAUUUUUUAUAAAAAAUUUUAAUUUGAAAAAAAUUUUAAUUAAAAAUUUAAUUUUUUAUGAAAUAAUAAUUUUAAAUUAAAUAAAAUUAAAAAUAAUGAUAAAAUUAGUAUAUAAAAUAAAAAAAAAAGUAAAUUAAAAUAUAAAAUUAGUUUUAAGGAAUUCGGCAAAUAAAAUUAUUCACUUGUUUAUCAAAAACAUGUCUUUUUGAAAUUAAUUUAAAGUCUAAUCUGCCCACUGAUAAAUAUUAAAGGGCUGCAGUAUAUUGACUGUACAAAGGUAGCAUAAUCAUUAGUUUUUUAAUUGAAAACUUGUAUGAAAGAUUUGAUGAAAUAAUAACUGUCUCUAAAUUAAAAAUAUAAUUUUAUUUUUUAGUAAAAAAGCUAAAAUAAAUUUAAAAGACGAGAAGACCCUAUAGAGUUUUAUAUAAAUUUUAUUUAAAAUUUUAUAUUUAAUUUAUAAAUUUAAUUAGAUUUUAUAUUUUAUUGGGGUGAUAGAAAAAUUAAAUUAACUUUUUUUGAAUAAUAAAUAUUAAUAAAUAAAUAAAUGAUCCAUAUAUAAUGAUUAUAAGAAAAAAUUACCUUAGGGAUAACAGCGUAAUGUUAUUUUUUAGUUCAAAUAAAAAAUAGAGUUUGCGACCUCGAUGUUGGAUUAAGAUAAAAUUUAAAUGCAAAAGUUUAAAAUUUUGAUCUGUUCGAUCAUUAAAAUCUUACAUGAUCUGAGUUCAAACCGGUGUGAGCCAGGUUGGUUUCUAUCUUUAAAUUAAAAUAAUAUUUUAGUACGAAAGGAUCAGAUAUUAGAAAUAAUUUUAUAAAAAGAAUAUUAAUAAUAAAUGAAUAA